GACGAACGCUGGCGGCGUGCUUAACACAUGCAAGUCGAACGGAAAGGCCCUGCUUGCAGGGUCCUCGAGUGGCGAACGGGUGAGUAACACGUGGGUGAUCUGCCCUGCACUUCGGGAUAAGCCUGGGAAACUGGGUCUAAUACCGGAUAGGAGCCAUUUUUAGUGUGAUGGUUGGAAAGUUUUUUCGGUGUAGGAUGAGCUCGCGGCCUAUCAGCUUGUUGGUGGGGUAAUGGCCUACCAAGGCGGCGACGGGUAGCCGGCCUGAGAGGGUGGACGGCCACAUUGGGACUGAGAUACGGCCCAGACUCCUACGGGAGGCAGCAGUGGGGAAGAUUGCACAAUGGGCGCAAGCCUGAUGCAGCGACGCCGCGGGGGGGAUGACGGCCUUCGGGUUGUAAACUCCUUUCGCUAGGGACGAAGCUUUUUGUGACGGUACCUAGAUAAGAAGCACCGGCUAACUACGUG
RNAcentral lists this ribosomal RNA (465 nucleotides) under uncultured bacterium. Its description in RNAcentral is "partial 16S ribosomal RNA". It matches the Rfam family "Bacterial small subunit ribosomal RNA", at positions 28 to 507 of the family's 1533-position model. The record is from RNAcentral.